Molecule: ribosomal RNA, 504 nt
Filed under: uncultured bacterium
Lineage: Bacteria
Description: partial 16S ribosomal RNA
Rfam family: Bacterial small subunit ribosomal RNA
Source: RNAcentral
GAUGAACGCUGGCGGCAGGCCUAACACAUGCAAGUCGAACGGUAGCACAGAGAGCUUGCUCUCGGGUGACGAGUGGCGGACGGGUGAGUAACGUCUGGGAAACUGCCCGAUGGAGGGGGAUAACUACUGGAAACGGUAGCUAAUACCGCAUAACGUCGCAAGACCAAAGUGGGGGACCUUCGGGCCUCACACCAUCGGAUGUGCCCAGAUGGGAUUAGCUAGUAGGUGGGGUAAUGGCUCACCUAGGCGACGAUCCCUAGCUGGUCUGAGAGGAUGACCAGCCACACUGGAACUGAGACACGGUCCAGACUCCUACGGGAGGCAGCAGUGGGGAAUAUUGCACAAUGGGCGCAAGCCUGAUGCAGCCAUGCCGCGUGUAUGAAGAAGGCCUUCGGGUUGUAAAGUACUUUCAGCGGGGAGGAAGGCGGUGGAGUUAAUAACUUCACCGAUUGACGUUACCCGCAGAAGAAGCACCGGCUAACUCCGUGCCAGCAGCCGCGGUAA